AUGUAUUGGUGGUGUUAUUGGUGGCGGAGAUGGCAGUUGUUUGACAGUUGUAGGGUCAUAGAAGGGGUAAAGAUCGAAUCUAAACUUACAGCUAGGUUUAUUAACUCCCCCACCUACUUUCCCGUAAAUAGAGGAGAUAUCUGCAAAAGCCCCAACUAAGCAAUCACUGCAAAGUUGCUCUGAUAUGUCUGGCGUGCAUUGCGCUAGUGCAAAUAUUGUUUGGAAGGAUGGGGCACUUGUGUUUCCGAAUGCAAAUUUCCGAAGAGAACCGCCAGCUGCAGCUUCACUUCUUAUGCUUUCCAGUAGCUUCCUCAGCUGUUGGUUGAAUCCAUCCAGGUCGGACGACGAUACGUUAUUAAUGUUAUAAUAAGCGGGAGAAGGCUCAGUUUCCAUGACGCCAUAGAUGGAGCGGUUUGAGUAGCGUAACAUGCAAUUGUCAUCAUACCAACCAAUUGCUUCCUUCCGAUUAGGGCAACUCUGAGGGAGAGCAUAUCGGGAAUUAUUUAGGCAGCUACGGCAAUCUUCCGCCUUGACAUCUCCUCUACAAAGUCCGAUUGCAUAAAUGUGCUCGUUCGACGAGUUUAGGCGAUAGGAUGCAUUGUAAAAGCCAUACCCGUUGCCGUUUUCGUCGGAGGGCAGGGAGGAGAGGAGGCGGUUGAGGUUUGUCUGAUAGGUACUAUUGGUGGUAUAGUUUCCUUUUCCGUCUAUGCAAUUUUGACCAAGGGCUUGAUUAAUCAUGAGAAACAGAAUGGGAAAGAGGCAGGAUAGAAAUCUUGAGGAAUCCAUUGCUGGCAUUAUUUGAUAUUUUUGCUAAAAUUGGUUUGUAAAAGAGGAUUAUAGUUCUGAUGGAAAACUUGCUACACGUCUAUAUAUGAAGAACGAAGUCAAUGAAUACCUCAAUUUACGCAAGACGCGGUGGUGGGAAGACUUUUAGUAAUAGCUCUAGCUACGAUACGGUAUUAUUAGUACUUGCUACCAUUCCUCUGCACAUGCAUGUUUAAGUGUUCUACAAUCUACAUGAUCUCUAAUUAUCUGGCUUUUCGUUUACAACUUUUUCAUGUACCAAGCCUACUCAACUCUUAUGAAAAAAGGAUGCCGUUAUGACGGUCUCAAGCCAAUAACAUAAGUUGGAAUUUAAAAUGCAUAAUAAUUUAAAUCAAAUACUACUUGAUUAUUCUUUCAUCAGCGAGGUUUCACACUGUUAUAAUUGAAGAUGCUGAUAUAGACGGGAGUGCUAAAUUAAAUAUUUAAGGUAGCUUCUUCCUAGACUUAUGCUAUUCAAGGAAGCUUCUUCCGAGACUUAUACUAUUCAACCAUUGAAAUAAAGUAAACCACAGACUGGAACAACUUCUCCUUUCUUUUCGGUGCAUGCAUUCUCUCAGUCAACAAAGUAAAUCAAUUAUAAUACGCAAUUCUGACAAUCAUUUACUCGUUUCGGUGGAUAUACCUUUCUACUUUGUGGUCAGAAUUAAAUUGUCGAUCUGUGACCGACUGUUUCUUAGUUCCUUUCGUCUCGGCUUACAUUGAUUGUAAUCGGAAAAUACAUGGUGGUUACUACGAUGAGCAAGAAAAGUUACAAUAAUUGAUAUUGCUGCACACCUUACUCUUUACUAUAGUUGAUACUAGCAAAGAUGCCCAAGCUCCAUUGCGGGUUUUGAAUUCGUAACCAUAGUUUAACACACCAAUUUUUAAAUUAUUCAGAAACCAAUCAAAGCAACUGAAUCGACAUGGUAAAUUAAGUCUUUCAGUUGGAUCUACAUUCUAUUGAAUUUACAUUAAAAGCCUAUCUUAAAAAAAAAUGUCGGAUUUUUUAAAGUCCCAACUAUAUACAAUGUACAUGAGUUUUUCACAUGAAUUGGAGAAUGAUGGUUGUUUAAUUGUACCUAAAGUGCAGCAGUAGCUGUCAGUGUGUGGCUAAAAUGCACCUGCACAGUGAAUCAAAAUUGACUCAUGAUUCCUUGUACUUGUAGCAUAAGUAGAAGGCAGCAGUGCUACACAGAAGUUUGUACUACACAAAUAGUCAAUGCUAUUUCCAAACCACCAUGAGAUUACUUAUAAUAAACUUACCUAGAAGUUGAAAUUCAACCGAACAUAAACAUCAGGCACAUCAGAAAGAUGGCAGCAGUUUAAGUCUUGAAGGUUCUCUUCAUUUAUGUCCUAGUUCACGGGAAAAACAAAAAAUGUGAUUGCAAAGAUGUGAUUCCCAACAACAAAGCCUACCAAAAUCUAAUCCUUUCACCAGUACCUACCUACCACCAAUUGAAUAUCCCACCAACACUCCAAAUUUUGACAGCCCUUAAGAAAAAAACUGUUCUAUGAAGCACAAAACUCUUCCAACACAUUGCUUGCAAGAUUUACUAUGUUUAAACCUCUGAUUUAUUGGUAUCAUGCGAUUUCUUUGAAAAUUUACAUAAACCUCAAAAAGUAGUAAAAGUGCUGCAGCAGCAUGAGGAGUUUUAUAACAAAGAAGUCAUUCAUUUCUACCGAUAAACUGAAACAAUGAUUGAUACAAAGGUCUUCGCAUCAGAUAAAAAUGACUGACUACGAAGAAUUCAAGUGCAAAAUGACUGACCAAGAAGACUUCUAUUUUUCAGAAAGGUAAAAAACAAUUAAUUGUUAUGGUACAAAUUCUAAAGUUAAUAAGCCCUUGAAGCAGGAAGCCAUAAAAAGAGCAGAAUUUUACAACAUACGUCUCAGAAACAAAUAGACUCAUUUGAAAUGUUCUUAAAGAAAUAAUACAGUGCCAAAUUGGAAUCAUAUCGGAGAAUAAAUAAAGAGGUCUAAGAUAUUUUAUCCAUAAACCUAAAAACUACAGAGAACAAAAAUAACAAUCACUCAAAUGGAAAGUACGGGGAAGCACUGCAUCAAAGGUCAGGUGGCAUACCAGAAUUUUGAUUCAAAUGUCAUGGCUGAGAACCUUUGCAUCAAAAGCAGCUGCAAGAGCAAAUGAUGAUGCUGCGAUAGGAGUCCAAACUAAACAGCAAAAAAUUAGAGAGAAUAAGAGUAAGAAUUCGAACAGAGUUCCUCUCAUAGAACUAAAGAAGUGAUGUUGAAACAACCAUUUUUUCCCAUUUUGUUUGACCAAGAAUCUAUUUGUAUAAAAUCCAAAUCCAAAUGCAGAAGAGAUAUGAGAAUAUAACAGAGGACCCUAACAGUUAAGAUUAGAGAGAAUAAGAGUCUGCAUUCGAACACAGUUAAGCGAUUUGUUCCAACACCUAACAAAAUUAAGAAUGGAUAAACAAAUACCUCAAUGAUGGUUUUUUGGCGCCUGCUCUGUGAAUGCAUGGUUUGAUGUGUAUGCUUGUGUUUGAUCUGCAUACAUGUCAAGAAAAAAUUAAGAAGUGCAUCACAGAAAUACAUAAGCAACCAAGAAUUGGAAAAACAAACUACCAACAGAGGAGCUAAACAGUUGCUAAAACAGCCUAAUCUCCCCAACACUCACAUCACAGAAAUACAGAAGCAACAAAGUAUGGAGAAACAAUCUAGCAACAGAGGGAUAUUCAAACGAUGUGAAGCGGAAAAGCAACCUCAAUUUGAUUUGUUGAGAAGGAAACAGCAGCAAAUCAUGAAGAAACACAGAAAUGAGCACAGUGCAACCCCCUAGCUUAUGAAGACACAAACCUGACUCUAACUGUGUACGGAAACAGAGCACUCAACAGCCUAAUCUCCCUAACACCCAACUAAACAGCCUAUAAACAUCCAUUACAAUUUUAAUGAAACAACAAAAUAUUCAUCACAGUUUUAACAAAGCAAAUGGCAAACCAAACAAUAAACAAUGAUUUUAAAACAGUGCAUUCCCUGUUGAAUCAGAGGUGAAAACUGAAAACCCACUCUCUCCCAUACCUCCCUCAGCCAUUCUCUCCUUAACAACCCUGUGGAGUAACCCGUUAACCCCAAAAAAUGCACACAGCCAUGCUUUCUGCCCUCUCUCUCUCUCUCUCUCUCCCUGUCCAUCCUUCUCUCAAAAAUUGGACAAAAUCCCUUUAUCUCUCUCCCACUCAGUCGAAACACGUAGCUCCCAUCUCUCUCUCCAAUCUGUCAUUCCCUCUGUCCCACUCCUCUCCUCCCCCAACGACCCUCUGACCGAUGCAUCUCCCACAGCCACACACCCACCCGCCCCCGAGUCAAAAAUCCCGGCUAUCCUCUCCCUCCACACUAAAGAUAUUUUCAAACAAAUCACAAUCCAUCCCACAAAGUGCAUCCAACUCCAAGGCAAGACUAAGCAAACACACAAAAUGUAUAAAAACCAAAGAAAAGUAGAAGUGUAACAAUAUUGUUAUGCAUCUGUAUUUAUUCUCACAAAUAACGAAUAUAAGAAUUUGAUGAUCUUGUUACUCAAACUCCAAGGAAAAAUGAAAUAAAAUUCAAUGGUUAAAAUUAAUCAUUCUGUAAAUGUAUUCCCCACAUCUAUAUCAUUCAAGUACAACGGUUUCAACAACAAAAAAUUCCUGAUUGACUUCAGUUCAAAACAUUCAAGUUCAACGUAAUUGAAACCUGUGCAAGAGAUUCGAUGAAAACCCAGUUCCAAUAUUAGCCACAACGAACUGAAGCCGUAUCGGCUCAGCGAGAACCUUCUCGAUAACCUCCUUCAACGCAACCUAUCAAUUCCAACACAAAAAUUGAGAAAAAGUGCGAGAAUAUUUGAGCUUGGGAUUUUCCCGGAAACCAAACAGGGGUCUAGACUCUAAACCAAACCUUGGGCGAGGGGUGGGGUGGAGAGAGAGGGCAGAGCUUUGAGGCGAGCCACCACCUCUACCCUCCUAUCCACCAUAUCUAAACAUCCACAGAGACAAAUUGUCAAACACCUAAUGGGUGCGCAUAUACAAACACACACACAGACCUGUAUAUACAAAAAUUACCACAAACAAACACACAUACACCUAUAAAUACAAAAGGGGGUGUCUAUAUAAUCACCUUGGGGAACAUCUUCGGUGUGAUGGAGGGACUUGUGGAUGUCCAUGGCGUAGUCGACCGUGUUGGUCUUGUUAAGGAGCAUAAAAUGGACUUGAGGAUCUACUCAUCUGGGUACAUCUGCCGCUCCUGUCCGAACUCGAGGAGGGAAAAAAAAUGAAGAAAUUUGGGUUUAGGGAUCUGGGUUUUGGGUUUAUCGUUGAAUACUGGAACGGUAUAAAGAAAUUUGGGUUUGUGGAGAGUAGCAGAAACUGAGAAUGCCGAGAGAGAAUCAAAAAGCAAAGAAAAAGCGGAGAAGAAGUCGAGGUGCAGCGAUGACAGACGCCUGGGCUAGCUUCCACCGUGCGAAGCGGUGGCUCAUACUUUUCUCUGACCAUCUCCCCUCUCCCACUCAUGAAAUCGAGGAUCUGCGGCAAUGGCCUCUCUCUCUCUCUCUCUCUCUCUCUCACAGAGGAGGCAUGGCCUCCCAUCCCCGAAACCCUCACUGAAUGACAACAAACCUAAACCCACCCCAAUCCCUCUCUUACUCAGUCCAAACCCGUAGCUCCCAUCUCUCCAAUCCGUCAGUCCCUCUGUCCCCCUCCUCUCCUCCCCCCAACAACCCUCUGACCGAUGCAUCAGCCACAGAACACCCACCCGCACGUCCCUCCCGAAAAUCCUCUCCCCUAAAUCCCGGCGAACGUCUCCCUUUCAACCCUUCUGUCGCCCUUCCCUCUCUCUCCCCAAGCCAUAAGCCCAGAUCCAGCCGAAAGACCGAAGACCCGUUGUUAAGCCCAGUGGCAAUCUUGUAAAUGAAGCGAAAUUUAGGAUAGAAUCAGCCCGGUGGCAAACUCGUAAAUAAAGUGAAAUUGAUGCAAAAUUGCACAGUAGCAAUCUUAAUGUUCGAUUCAAACACUACGAUGCAAUGUCCGUAUUGUGAUUUGCUUUUUGUGGAUUUAAACUAGGGGAGUUUAACGAAAAGCACCUGGUACUGUUCACUUUAACGAAAAACCACAUUUUUACACUAAAAAGUCAAUCCUGGUACUAUUUACUUUACCCUUUAUUUUGUCCUUAUCAUUAAAACUCAAAGUUUUCAAGCCAUUUUCAUUAGUUUUCCUUUUAAACUAUCCAUUGCAGUGCAUGUUUGACUAGUCACAUUUAAUGUUGUAUUUUUUUUAUAUACCUUUAAAUAUUGGAUUAUUUAAUUUGAUUAUCAUAAAUCAGAAACUAUAACGCAGAGUCUUAAUUUACUUAUUUUGGGUAACAUAAACUGCAAUGCAAUAUGUGAAUCCCUAAUGACCAAUUCCAAAAUAUAUAAAAUAUGAAAAAGGGGUACCGAGUGUUAGAUUUUAUAAUUUUUAUUUAUUUUAAAUAAUUUUGUAGAAACCGUAUAUUCAAUAUCUAGAUUUAAGAGAUUACAACCUAUAUUUAUACACAAAUUAUAAGAUAUCUUCUUAGUGGUUACAAUGGGACGGAAAACCAAUUAUAUCCUAAUAAAGGCUAAUAACAACAUAAUAGCUAAACAAUAAUGUAUUGUCCUUGAAGAACCGUAACUAUGGUAACUCCCGUAACUCCCUAACAAAUUUAAAUACAGAUUUUGUAGUUUUUGUUUAUCCUUCCCUCCCAGUUGCAAACGUAUGCAUAGAAGGUCUAAACGCGGCUACGUUUGUCAUCAAAUAGGCCAAUAUAUACAUCACUGAAAUGGUGUGGAUUGAUACAUUCUUCUCCUGACUAUCCUUGUCCAGAUACUUUCCUGUGUAAACGAUUAGUUGAAAGAACAUCUGGUAUGGAUAUUGAACUUGGCAUAGCUUGUACCAAACAUUGCAUCAGUUGUUUUGCAACUCUUGAAGAUUUCCUUGCUUGCUUCAUGAAACAGUUUCGACAAACUAUGGAGUUAACAUCCCAUCUACAAAGUGCUUGUCCAGGGACUAUGUCACGUCCAUCUCCAAUCGUGUCAUUGUAAAAACCUCCUGUGAUGGAAGUGUUAGAAGACAAUGACUCAAUAGCCGCUCGAGAUUGCUUUCAAAUUGACUACUUCUGCCAUCAGCUGAACAAAAAAUUGAAAGGGGAUCUGUAGCAGAAAGGGCAGCCGGCAUCAACAGCACAAUAAUUGCGAAAAGCAUUACAAGAAGUUUAUCUUUGUCCAUUUGCUAGAAAAGGGUUCACGGUGAACACAGAUUUUGGCCAAAAGCAAGAAACACUUUGAAGAUUUAUUUUGACGACGUUUCAGUUUUGACAGUGAAGUUCCAGCUACAAGUUUACAUGUGACCAUCACAGAAACUUCCUUGCUGAUGGAAGACGCAAGCCGGAUGUGAUUAAAGUCAUGAUCUGCAUGUUGAUAGAGACCAGGAAUAACAUAUGGUGUUCAAAUGAUCGGUUAAUUGUUGAUUGAUCAAAGACUUUGCAGCUUGGUCACAUAUAGUGCAUGCUUAAACUACUUGAUUAAAAUGUGAUUGUUUAGAGUUGACUGGCCAAACAAGCAGUGUCUGUUGGUUAGUACAAGUCUAACUAUUUGUUUGACCAUUCUACUCGAAGGGAGCUGCCAUGAAAUUACUAGUAAGGUCUUUGGAGUCUUUAUAGCAGCAUGAGGAUGUGUGGGCAUACAAGAAAUAAUAUGAUCAAGAAUAAUAAGGAUAUCCAAUGUAAAGUAGGAAUGACCCCAAUUGAAAAUAAGAUAAGAAAAAAUUGAUUAAGAUGGUUUGAACAUUUGAAAUGAAGACCUAAAGAUGCUCCAGUUAGAAAACGCAACUACGUGACAAAGACUCAUAACACAAGGGCACAAGGGGUAGAUGAAGACUUAAAAAAAAUUAGGAGACUUUAAGAAAAGACAGAGACUAUUUGGAGCUAAUAAAAUACUUGGCCCAAAAUCGAGUACAGUGACGUUCUAGGAUUCAUACAAUCAACCCCACUUAAUGGGAUGAUGUAUUUUUGUUGUUGUUGAUGUGUUUAUGCAGGCUCUAUUUUGUUCACUUAUUAUAUAAACCGGUCAAAGUAUCGAUUUGCUUAUAUCGCACAAAUUUCCUUGCUGACCGAAAAUCCAUAGAUAUGCAAUCCUGCUCAACAAAGUCUUGAUCAAGAAUACUGUAUUGAUCAAAGACUUGUUUAAUUAAAUUAGUUAAACUCACAUCAGUAAAAAUUAAAAUUCAGUCACACCACAAGUUGAAAGAUUUGUUGACCCAAAACUAAUAGAUAAUGACAAGGACUUCACAACCAUCAAAUAAUAGUAAACUGUCAGUGUUUGAUUCGUGUUUGUAUUAUUUGAAAACAAAACUGCAAAUUGAUUCAGUGAGACGAUGAUUCACACCGAGCAGCUGAAAAACGAAGAACAAAGGAGGAAGAGAAUUCGGAGUCGUUGCUUCAGCAAGAAGGAUUCUAUUUCUUCUUGUUGAUGAGAAUGAGUUCACGUUAAUGGGAGGAAAUAUCUUGCAUGAACUUAUAAAAGAGACCUACUCUUCAUAUGGUCAAUUGGUUUUGUGGUGAAACCUCAACUUUUUUCAUGGUAUCAAAGUAGGUUGAAUAGAAUUUUACGGGAUAAUUUCCGUGUAUUCCAUAAUUCUCAAUUAAAGGAUAUGUACAACCCUAGUUACAAGAAAGGCAACAAAUAAAGGACAUAAUACCUUUCCUAAAACAAGACUCUAGUAAUUACAAAAUAUUUACAUUCUCUUUUCUACUAAAUAUUAACUUAUUCCAAUACUCCCCCUCAAGUUGGAGCAUAAAUAUUACUCAUGCCCAACUUGACAAGCGACUCACCAAACCUUCUAUUGCACAUGGCAUGGGUAAGUACAUCUGCAAGUUGUUCCUCUGAGUUCACAAAUGGUAUUGACACAAUCUUCUUCUCCAGCUUUUCUUUGAUAAAAUGUCUAUCAACUUCAACAUGCUUAGUCCUGUCAUGCUGUACUGGAUUCUCGGCUAUCUCUCUAGCGGACUUAUUAUCACAAUACAACUUCAUUGCCUCCUUCUGUGUAAAACCAAGGCUCUCAAGUAACUUUUGCAGCCAAAGCAUCUCGCAUACACCAUGUGCCAUUCCCCUAUAUUCGGCUUCGGCAGAAGACCGUGACACCACAUUUUGUUUCUUGCUCCUCCACGUAACCAAAUUGCCUCCAACGAAUGUAAAAUACCCCGAUAGACCUUCUAUCAGUCACAUCACCGGCCCAAUCAGCAUCCGUAAAUCCCUCGAUCCUCAUAUGCCCAUGACUCUCAUACAAAACUCCUUUACCCGGAGCAGACUUUAAGUAUGCCAAGAUUCUCAUCACUGCCUCCAUAUGAUCUACACUUGGUGAGUGCAUAAACUGACUAACCACACUUACCGCGUAAGCAAUAUCCGGACGAGUAUGAGACAAAUAAAUCAGCCUCCCCACCAGUCUUUGAUAUCUCCCUUUGUCAACCGGUUCCUGAUCUGGAUAAAUCCCCAAAUAAUGUUUCUCUACGAUAGGAGUGUCCACAGGUUUACACCCCAGCAUGCCUGUUUCCUUUAAUAAAUCCAGAACAUAUUUACGUUGAGACAAAAAAAUACCUCUAGAUGACCGAGCGACUUCCACUCCAAGAAAGUAUUUUAAAUCUCCCAAAUUCUUCAUCUCAAACUCGGCAGCAAGGUUUUGUUCAAGCUUCAUCAUCUCUUCUGAAUCAUCACCGGUUAUUAUCAUGUCAUCUACAUAAAUUAUUAAGGCAGUCACUUUACCACUUCCCCGUUUCACAAAUAAUGUAUGAUCCGAAUGACUUUGAUAAUACCCAAACCUCCUCAUAACCUGAGUAAAUCUCCCAAACCAUGCACGAGGUGAUUGCUUAAGUCCAUAGAGUGACUUUCGCAAUCUACAUACUCCGGUUUUUCCUCCGGCAUUGUACCCCGGAGGAAAAUCCAUAUACACCUCUUCUUCUAGAUGCCCAUGAAGAAAAGCAUUCUUUACAUCAAACUGUUUCAGUGGCCAAUUCAAGUUUGCAGCUAAAGAAAUCAGAACACGUACCGUAUUCAUCUUCGCUACUGGAGAAAAAGUUUCCUGAUAGUCAAUACCAUAAGUUUGAGUAUACCCCUUCGCUACUAACCUUGCUUUAUAUCUGUCUACCGAUCCGUCUGCCUUAUAUUUAAUUGUAAAAACCCAUCUACACCCAACUGGUUUCUUGCCUUUAGGUAGCUCCGUCACCUCCCAUGUAUCAUUCUUGUGUAGUGCCAUCAUUUCUUCAUCCAUUGCAGCAACCCAUUUAGGAUCCUUCAAGGCCUCCUCAACUCGGGUUGGUGCUUGGAUUGCUUCCACAUUAUUUACCCAGGCUUGACGUUCAGGUGCAAGGUUUUUGCACGACACAUAAUUUGAUAUUGGAUACUUUACUUUUCCUUCAGGAGAAAACCUGUCAGGAGGAACACCACGAUUUUGCCUUGGCGGCAACUUAUACAUACUUACAUCAUUAUUUGGAUUAGUUACAUGAGCAUCUGUAGUACUUACCUCAGGGAUAUUCAGAGUAGACACAUUGGGUGGCACUAUCGAGCGAGAGAGAAUGUGAUGUGGGUUCUGCAGAUGGCACUUCUUCCCUUAAAGUACUUGGUUCGGCAGUAGGCUGCUGGAUUAUUAUAGCUUCCUCAGUAGGACCUUGCCUAAAACCUGCACUUGUCUCGGCAGGCAGCAACUGAAGGCCCAUAUCAUUCUCGGCAAUUUCUUGUCGAAAAUUUGGUGUCCCAUUUUCAUCCUUGUCGUCAACACAUGCUCCCCCUGAACUACAUAUCACAUCCUCGGGUACCUCUAACCACCCAAGAUCAACUUGAUCACCACUAGUGUUCUCCCCCUGGUGAUCUGAAGGUGAUGGGAUCGAAGAAUAGAAAUACUCUGAUUCAGAAAAAGUAACAUCCAUAGUCACAUACAUAUGUCGAGUUUCAGGAUGAUAACACUUAUACCCUUUCUGUUAAGAGGCAAACCCAACAAAAACGCACCAAAGGGCACAUGGAUCCAAUUUGCUACGAUGAAUCAUGUGAAUAUGAACAUAUGCUACACAUCCAAACACACGAGGAGUAAGGGUAUUAGUGGAUACUACAGGAACAUGUUCCGUUAAUACUUGAAGAGGGGUACGGAAUUCUACAACCCGAGAUGGCAUACGGUUAAUCACAUACACAGCAUAGGUAACGGCUUCAGGCCAAAAACGUUUAGGCACAGACGCACCAAUAAGCAGGGCACGAGCAGUUUCCAAGAUAUGACGAUUCUUUCUCUCAUCAACCCCAUUUUGUUGUGGAGUAUGCGGACAUGUAGUUUGAUGAAUAAUUCCACGAUCUUGUAGAAACCGGGAUAACUCAGAAGCUAUGUACUCUUCACCGUUGUCAGAACACAAAACUUUAAUAUCAAUGGAAUACUGAGUUUUAACCAUCUGUUGAAACAGACGAAACACAUCACAAACCUCACUUUUAUUUUUCAACAUAUACAACCACAUCAUACGAGUGCAAUCAUCCAUGAAAGUAACAAACCAUCUAAUUCCCGAAGUAGUACUAACAGGGGAAGGCCCCCACACAUCAGAGUGUACUAGUGCAAAUGGAGAAGAUCUUCUAUUCAUACUUGGAGGGAAUGAAGCACGAUGACUUUUGGCUAAAAUACAUACUUCACAUUUCAAUUCUGAGUUUUCAAUACCACUGAACAAAUCAGGUACUAUAUGUUUCAAAUAACCAAACGAUGCAUGCCCCAAACGACGAUGCAAUAACAAUACCUUCUGUAGAUUCCUAUUACGUGACGAAUGAACCAAAUGAGCUCUUCCAGGAACCACGUCAUCCACAUAAUAUAGUCCCUCUCUCUUAGUGCCACGCCCAAUGAUCUCCUUUGUUUGAAUAUCCUGAAGCAAGCAAAAUGAAGGAUACAUUACUACAACACAAUCCAAUUGUUCAGUGACUUGAGGUACAUACAAUAAGUGAUGGGACAAUGACGGAACCAAUAAACAAUUAUGUAACGGAAGAGAGGGUGUAAGAGACACUGUUCCCGCUCCAACAAUGGCAGCAGUAGUACCAUUGGCAGUUGCCACACACUUUUUAUGAGAAUCUUUCAUGGACUGAAACAAAGUUCUAUCAUACGUCAUAUGAUCCGUUGCACCGGAAUCUAAAAUCCAACCGGUAUUGGUCAUUGUAAUAACAACUGCACAACAGUCUCUACACACUGCACAAAACAACAAGUACGCACAAUACUUAUACGCAACAAACUACACACUUGCAGCUGUAGACACGCUGAUCCACGGACAGAAAUCACUAGCACAAACUGUAGCCCACGGUACAAGAGAACAAUCCACACAUUGCAAGCAGUAGCAAGAACCCACAAAUCCUUUUUUUUUUUUCAAAAGAGAAAAAAUUGCAGAACUUGCAGACAUAAUCUGAAAUAAUAGUACUAACACGCACAGGAACAAGGGCACGAUAUUGGACAACAAUUCAAGUGCAGCUCGGCACAAGAAUUAUAGUUAUACUCACUGCAACAAAUUGGAUAGCAAGCCAAAUUGUUUACUACCCACGGGAUAAAGGAAAAGGUACUUUGACAAUUGAUGCAAAGCAAUUGUAUGCUAACAAUUGCACAACAAUUGUACACUGUUAAAAACCACAAGCACAUCAAUACCAUUCACACACGGUUGCACACACAGCAACAACACACACGCACAGUGACUGAUCUCUGCGAAAAGAAUUGCAGAAAAAACAGUUGAUUGAGCACAGCGGAAAAACUAGGGUUACGGCAGCCUUGGCUCUGAUACCAAAUAGAAUUUUACGGGAUAAUUUCCGUGUAUUCCAUAAUUCUCAAUUAAAGGAUAUGUACAACCCUAGUUACAAGAAAGGCAACAAAUAAAGGACAUAAUACCUCUCCUAAAACAAGACUCUAGUAAUUACAAAAUAUUUACAUUCUCUUUUCUACUAAAUAUUAACUUAUUCCAAUAGGUUGUCCCACGUGUGAAGCCAAACGGUAACACGCGCUCUGCGUCACCCUAUUGUAUUAUCCACGUGUUAGGCUUGAAAAUUUAUCACACGUGAGGGGACGUGUUGAGAAUAAGUCUCAUUUUAAUAGGAGGAGGGAAUUCCAUGGGCUUAUAAGAGGUUAAACUACUCUUCAUUUUACCAAUUGAUUUUAUGAUGAAACCUCAACUUUCUCUUCUUGUAGCUGAAUAGAGAGAGAGAGGGAGUUAGAUAUAGCUGAGCUGAGCUAUUGAAGGCAUACUAGUUAUUAGAAUCCUUUUUACUAUUUAUCCUAGUAUUAAUUAAGGGAACUGUUAUUAACACUAAAAAAAUCUCAUUAUAUACUCUUCACAAGUAUAUUUUUCUUUCUAAUUAUUGAAAGUUUGGAGUGUUAAAUGAGGUUUUAGGAGUGCUAAUAACAAUUCCCUUAAUUAAAGUUUGUAUAAUUAAUCAAAUAUAUACAAGGUGUGAUUGUAACAUUAUCAUGGGAUUCUUACUUCCAGCUUCUCGGUAUAUAGUUUUUAUCACAGAUUUAAAUAUCGAUAUUAUCGGCGAAAUAUCGCCGAUAAUAUCGAUUUUUCGGGUAAUGGAUAUUUAAAUAGGUUUCUGUGUGGUUUUCGUCCAAAUAUCGCGAUAUUAUCGAUAAUAUCGAUAAUAUCGCGAUAUUUUGGAAAUAUCGAGAUAUUUCGUUGAACGGUGCAAUCGGACUCCGAUUUCGAACGCCGGAGAUGGUGUGGCUGUUCCCGAGCCCAUUUCGUCCCAAAAACCUUGCAAAAACACGAAUUUUAACUUCAAUUUCACAUAUAUGCUUCAAAUUUCACGCAUGCAUCAACGAUUCAACAUAUGAUGUCGGUUUAGGGCUUAGGGUUUCAAUGGAAUCUCACCUGAAAAAUCGAUGACUGGGCCAACUCCUUUCUCAGCGGCGCACCACCAGAGACGACUGAGCCAAGUCCGACUUCGCCAGAGCCACGAUCAACGGCAGCGAAGGAUCGAGAGAGUGGGCGAAGGAUCGAGAGAGUGGGAGAAGGGGGAGAUCUGUGUGUGUGUGGGUCGAAUGGAGAAGGGGGAGAAGAGAGGUCAGGCCUCAGAGAAGAAGACCCCGGAGGCCCGGGAAACAACCGUCAUCGCCAACACGCGCAUCGACUGGAAGGAGACCCCGGAGGCCCACAUCUUCAAGGCGGACCUCCCGGGGAUCAAAAAGGAGGAGGUGAAAGUGGAGGUGGAGGACGGGAGGGUCCUGCAUAUCAGCGGCGAGAGGAGCAGGGAGCAGGAGGAGAAGACGAAGAACUGGAGAAGGGAGAAGCUCAGAAGUUCUAGAGAGAAGGAAGGGAGAGAAGAGAAAGACAGAAGUUCUAGAGAGAGAAGGAUCCAGAGUGAGACUCUGUGGGCGUGCGUGGUUUUGGAUUUUGGGGGGGGGGGGUUUGUCUGUGUGACACACUGACUCACUGACUCUCUCUUCUGCGUGUGAUGUGUGGUGGUGUGAGAAAAAAAAAAGAAUCCAAUGCAAUGAUCCAAUCCAAAUAAUUCAAAAUCAAAUAAAAAAACAUAUAAAUAAUUCAAAAGCAUCUCCAAAUAAUUUUGACAAGACACUCACUCUACACAUAGAGAUGAUGAAGAUAGUGAAAAAAUUGAACCUCAUAGGAACUCUAUGUGGUACUAAAGUGUAAAAUAUUGUACUAAUUCAUUAUAUAAAUGAUUAUGGUGUGUUUAGACUUCUUUCAUUAAUUACUACAUAUUUUCUACACUCACAAUGUUUGUCAGCUCGCUAUAUAAUCAACUUGAUAAUGUUAAAUCCAUCAUGCAAUGCAUUUCCUUCCAAUUUUUUGUGAUAAACUAAUAGAUAAUUGACUAAAUAAACAUCCUGCAAAGUUUCAAUAAAAAUUUCCAAGUUUUUCUUACAAUUUCCGUGGUUUCCAUGUAAUUUUUAUCGAUAUCGAUAUUUUACCGAUAUUUCCAUCGAUAUUUCCGUGUUUUCAGACUACCGAUAUUUCCGAUAUUACCGAUAUUUAAUACCAUGGUUUUUAUAAAAGAACAUGGAUCCCCUCCGGAUCCAUUAUGUGGGGAUCUUAGGAAUCCCCACAUCUCAUCCGUACAUCGUGAAUCGUGCGGUCAGAAAUUAUUUUAUUUUUAUUAUUUUAAGUUAAUCACAAAUAGUACCUUACGAAAACUGGCCGCACGAUAUACGAUGAAUGAUUGGGAUGUAGGGAUCCUUAGAAUCCCCACAUAAUGGAUCCGGAGGGGAAGACAUUUUCUCACUUAAAACAUCGUCGUCAUGGAUAUUUUUCGUUGUAAAAAUUUAGGGCUUCUUUGGUACUCUACUUGAAUCCAAUUUUUUAAACUUAAAAACAAUUUUCAAGUUUUAGACCUUAAAAAAUUGUUUGGUAGGACUAUUUUAAAAAAUUGAACUCAAGACUAACUAAAAAAUAUAGUCUAUUCUCUAAAACCAUAAAAAGUGAGUUUUUAAAGUUUUUAAAUUUAAACUCACUCAUUUCUUUCAUUUCCGCUUGCUCUCUCUCACUCCAAAUCUAUCUCUCUCUUUUCUUCUUUCUCUUUCCUCUUUUAUUUUAUUUAUUUAUUUUUUUUUCCUUUUUGUGUCUCCUCCAAUUUGCUCUCUUCAUUCUCUCGGUUAUUUCUCUCACUCCUCUUCUUCUCUCCUUCAAUCAUCUCUUAUUUUCUUUCCUUCUCUCUUCUCUUUCUCCCUCUCCUAUGACCCCCCUCUUUUUAGAUCUCUUUGUCUAGUUUAAGUUGUAAAAUUUAAAAUUUUUAAAUCGCCAACCAAUUAAGUUUUUGAGUCUUAAAGAAAAUUGUUUUCAAGAAAUGUUCUUAAUAAAUGUUUUGAGAAAUGAUAAAAAAAUUCAAAUAGGAUACCAAACAUGCCCUUAAAUUCCUCACUGUUUCAUGGAUCAAAUUGGUUAUCAAACUCAGUUCACAAUCUUGCGAGAAAAUUGAAAUUUCCUUGAGUAAUUAUCUGCAUAUAUAUGACACGAAUUUAUAGAUUUUUUAAUUUGAGAAGAAAAUCACACCAAAUUGAGGUAUAGUUAGAUCACAUGAAAAAUAACACUCCUACUGAAAGAUAUGAGAAAAUUUGAGCAUCGGUCCCUAAACAGGUCAUAAGGUAUAGUAAUGGUUCUUUUGAGUAAACAUUGUUUUAUAAUACCUUCCAAAAUUAAGGGUUUAAAGAGGAAAAUAUAAAAGGAAUUAUUCUAACGUGAUUACCAAAAAUAAAUAAUGUUACAGAUUGUAACAAGUUAUGGACCACUAUUCAAAUUAACUCAAAACAUAUUAAGUAUGUAAAAUAACACUACUCAAGUCAUACUGCUAGUCAUAUACAGGAUGCGUAAUAACAAAUUAUGUAGAUUCGAGAUUAUUAGGGAGCGCAUGGUAAUUAACAUUUACCCUAUACAAAUGACAAGGUGAAAGAAAAACUGUAAAGAUUAUAGGAUUGUCUCUAAAUGCAGCUCAAGAGCCUUUAACGGAAGAACUUCCAAAAUAUUAACCUUAUUGUCAUCGGUCUCAACGAGGAACAUCGAUAGAAAUGGUCAAACCAUUGCCUGAGCAAUCUUGAGGACGCACUUGAUCAUGGUGGUCAACAUAUCCUCCUGUAAAGAAGGCUGGUUUCUCAGGUCUGGGAAGAAUAAUAGUUUCACUUUUUAACAUAAGAACAACUGAGGACAUGGUCGGCCUGUUGUUUGCAUCUUCUUGAACACACAAUAGUCCAAUGUGGAUGUACCUCAAAAAUUCAUUUGGACUGCAGGAAUCUUUUAACAAGGGAUCCAUCAACUCCAACCCUUUCGUUUCAUUCCAUAAUUGCCAAGCCUGCAAUCAAUAUCUCUCAGGGAUGUAUGUACUACUCCAGUUUUAAUAGCUACAUUAAUUAGCUCACGAAUAUUUUGAAUAAGUAUUUCAAGUAAAAAACUUACAUAACCUAUAAGAGUAGGUUUACAAUUUGUGCGAUGAAAGCCUAAAAAGUUCCUUCUCCCCGUUAUGAUCUCAAGCAGAAGUACUCCGAAGCUGAAGACAUCCGAUUUUACUGAAUACAACCCUUCCAUAGCAUAUUCUGGAACCAUGUAACCACUUUACAGGACAGAAAUGGUUGACAUAUAUUAGAGUUUAAAUAACAAAUAUAUACUUUUCCGUUGUCUAUUUAAAGAUAGAGUUAAGUACAUAAGUUGAAACAAAUAAUUGGAACUUAAGAUUACUAAUAUUAGAUAGAGGUAUUUGUAUAAGUUGAAACUUACUAAGUACCAACAAUUCUUUUGGUAUUUCCUUCAGUUUGAUCAUCAAUUCCAAACAUUCUAGCCAUCCCAAAAUCUGAUAUUUUCGGAUUCAUGUUGCUAUCUAAUAAAAUGUUGCUAGCUUUCAAAUCACGAUGUAUAACUCUAAGCCUCGAAUCUUCAUGAAGAUACAAAAUUCCUCGAGCAAUUCCUCCAAUUAUCAUGGUGCGGCUCAACCAAUCUAGUUGUUCUCGUUUUUUAUGUUCUGCAAAUUUAUCAAGUUCAAGUAGUACUUUUUGAAGUUAGGAACGACAAAGAAUUAUAUUUACUGACACAAACAUAUAUGUAUAUUCAUCAAAUGAUGUUCACAUACCAAAUAAAAAAUAAUCAAGGCUUUUGUUGGGCACAUAUUCAUAAACAAGUAUGGUUUCUUCUCCUUCCAAGCAAAAUCCUAAUAGCCUGACAAGAUUUCUGUGUUGAAGCUUGGCUACCAAUACAACCUCGUUCUUAAAUUCUUGUACACCUUGUCCGGAGCUUUUUGACAACCUCUUUACUGCUAUUUCUUGUCCACUAAUAAGCAUUCCCUGUGAUAAGGUAUAUAGGUACUUUAGUUUAUCCAACAAUUUUGUUGUGAUCUAAGCAAUUUAUAUAUACAAUACAAUGUUGGAUUAAUAGAAUGACUCAUGAACUAAUGCAUUAUAUAUUUGUUGGGUUAUUACCUUGAAAACUGCACCGAAUCCACCUUCGCCUAACUUGUUAUAUUCGGAGAACUUAUUUGGCAGGUCAGGUUUUUUCACAAGAGUAAAUUGUAGUUAUGGUCCCUGAACUUUACUCAAAUUGGAGCAAUGGUCAUUCAACUAAAAAUCCAUUAUCAUUGGUCCUUCAACUCAUUAAAACGUGCAGCUAUGGUCCCUCAACUAAAAAUCUAUUACCUUUGGUCCCUUAAUUUUAAUUCAACUGGAGAAAUGGUCCCUUAAUUUUAUCCCAAUUGUAACUAUGGUCCUUCAAACAUAACUCGUUUUGACAAAAUUUUUUACGUAGUUGACGAAAAUGACCAUAAUUACACACUUUGAUGAGUUGAUGGACCCUAAUUAAAUAAAUGGUUAUUCCAACAUAACAUAUUUUGACAAAAUUUUGAGAAAUUAAUGAAAAUGACUAUAGCUACACAUUUUAAUAAGUUGAGGGACCAAUGGUAAUGAAUUUUUAGUUGAGGGACUAUUGCUCCAAUUUGAGUAAAGUUCAUGGACCAUUGCUACAAUUUACUCUUUUCACAAUAAAGCCGGCCUCGGUGAUCAAUAGUGGAACAAUCACUAUAUAUAUUGUAUUUUAUUUCGUAAGGUAUGAUGUGAGAAUCUUACCUUCAAUGGAUGUUUUAUAUAUUACCUUGUAAACAGAACCAAAUCCUCCUUGUCCUAGUUUAUUGGCUUCAGAAAAGUCAUCUGCGGCAAUUCUAAUGGUGUCAAAAUUGAAUUGCAAGGAUUCUGCACUUCCAAUUUCGUCCAUGUCUUCGCCUGCGGUACAAUUUUAACAAAAUAUUGAUAUGUAACAUAAUUACAUCUAGAUGACGUAACAGUACUAGGCUUCCCACUUGAAGAAAAUUGAGUUAAAUUAAUGUUACUGUGUCUAUUUUGUUACAAUACGUACCUGGAAUUAAAUUACUUUGAAACAUUUUCUUUGCAUUCCGUACUCUUAGACAAAUGCCCAUGAACAUUGCUAGUACCAAAGAAGCAAUAAUUGGCACAACAAUAAUGAUGACAGUCCGAGAUUUGCCGUUCUUCAAUCCUGCAAAGUAAAAUCAUAAAUAUAUCUUCUCUAAUCACAUGAGAUUCUGAAUAACAUGUUUAAGUGAUUGAUCUAUCAGAGAGAGGAGUUACCAUUGAUCAAUUAAAUUUUGAGAUCAGUGUCAAGCAAAUAUAGUCAUCAACGUAUGUAAUGGAGUGUACAUACAUAUACGUUAUGCGUGCGUACCUUGUGAAGUGUUUGUGGUAUUGGUUGAUGGUGGUGGAGAAUGUAUUGGUGGCGGAGAUGGCAGUUGUUUGACAGUUGUAGGGUCAUAGAAGGGGUAAAGAUCGAAUCUAAAGUAACAGCUAGGUUUAUUAACUCCCCCACCUACUUUCCCGUAAAAAUUGGAGCUAUAUGCAAAAGCCCCAACUAAGCAAUCACUGCAAUUUUGCUCUGAUAUGUCUGGCGUGCAUUGCGCUAGUGCAAAUAUUGUUUGGAAAGUUGGGGCACUUGUGUUUCCGAAUGCAAAUUUCCGAAGAGAACCGCCAGCUGCAGCUUCCCUUCUUAUGCUGUCCAGUAGCUUCUCCAGCUCUUGGUUGAAUCCAUCCAGCUCGGACGACGAUAUGUUAUUUAUGUUCCAGUAAUACGGCGAAGGCCGCGAAGGCUCAGUUUCCAUGACGCCAUAGAUGGAGCGGUUUGAGUAGCGUAAAUUGCAUUUCUCAUACGAUCCAAAUGCUUCCUUCUGAUUAGGACAACGCUGAAGGAGAUCAUAUCGGGAAUUAUUUAGGCAGCUACGACAAUCUCCCACCGUGACAUCUCCUCUACAAAGCCCGAUUGCAUAAAUGUGCUCGUUCGACGAGUUUAGGCGAUAGGAUGCAUUAUAAAAGCCAUACCCGUUGCCGUUUUCGUCGGAGGGCAGGGAGGAGAGGAGGCGGUUGAGGUUUGUCUGAUAGGUACUAUUGGUGGUAUAGUUUCCUUUUCCGUCUAUGCAAUUUUGACCAAGGGCUUGAUUAAUCAUGAGAAACAGAAUGGGAAAGAGGCAGAAUAGAAAUCUUGAGGAAUCCAUUGCUGGCAUUAUUUGAUAUUUUUGCUAAAAUUGGUUUGUAAAAGAGGAUUAUAGUUCUGAUGGAAAACUUGCUACACGUCUAUAUAUGAAGAACGAAGUCAAUGAAUACCUCACUUUACACAAGACGCGGUGGUGGGAAGACCAGACUUUUUUUUCUUUUUUUUUUAACACAGACCAGACUUUUAAUAGUAGCUCUAGCUACGAUACAGUAUUGGUACUUGCUACCAUUCCUCUACACGUGCAUGUUUAAGCGCAACUUUUUCACGCAUCAAGCCUAUGCAACUAUUAUGAAGAAAGGAUGUCGUUGUGGGGGUCUCAAGCCAAUAACACUCUUAUAUUGAUAAGUUGAAAUUUAAAAUGCAUAAUAACUUUAAAUCAAAUAAUACGUGAUUAAUUUAAAAUACCGCUAUAAUGAUAUCAUUGUAUAAGCAAGUGUCUAUUUUAUAUUACAUCUUUGUAGGUAUUCUUUCAUCAGCGAGGUUUCACUCUAUUAUAAUUGAAGAUGCUGACAUAGACGGGAGUGCUAAAUUAAAUAUUUAAGGAAGCUUCUUCCGAGACUUACACUAUUCAACCAUUGAAAUAAAGUAAACCACAGAUUGCAGGAGUGGUUGGCUCUGGCUGGGCCAACUUCUCUUUGCUUCUCGGUGCACGCAAUCUCUCGGUCAACAAGGUAAAUCAAUUAUAAUACGCAAUUCUGACAAUCAUUUACUCGUUUCGGUGGUUAUACCUUUCUACUUUAUGGUCAGAAUUAAAUUGUCGAUUUGUGACUGACUGUUUCUUAGUUCCUUUCGUCUCGGCUUACAUUGAUUGUAAUCGGAAAAUACAUGGUAGCUAUUACGAUGAGCAAGAAAAGUUACAAUAAUUGAUAUUGCUGCACACCCUACUCUUUACUAUAGUUGAUACUAGCAAAGAUGCCCAAGCUCCAUUGCGGGUUUUGAAUUCGUAAUCAUAGUUUAACACACCAAUUUUUAAAUAAUUCAGAAACCAAUCAAAGCAGCUGAAUCGACAUAGUAAAUUACGUCUUUCAGUUGGAUCUACAUUCUAUUGAAUUUACAUUAAAAGCCUAUCUUAAAAAAAUGGCGGAUUUUUUAAAGUCCCAACUAUAUACAAUGUACGAGUAUUUCACAUGAAUUGGAGAAUGAUGGUUGUUUAAUUGUACCUAAAGUGCAGCAGUAGCUGUCAGUGUGUGGCUAAAGGGUGCGUUUGGUACGUGGGACGGGACGGGACGGAACGGGACGAGGCGUUCCGUCCCGCGUUUGGUACGCCAAAAAUGGGUGGAACGGGCUGUUCCACGGAACAGAUUUUGAGUGUUUUUGCGUUCCACCUCCCCCCCCGGAACGGGUUUGUUACACGUUUGCGGAACGCAAUGUUUUACCAUUUUAAGACAAAUAUACCCCAUGUCUUUUUCAAAAAUUACACCUUCGUUCCGUCCCGUCCCGUUCCGUCCCGUCUGCGUAUCAAACGCACCCAAAAUGCACCUGCACAGUGAAUCAAAAUUGAGUCAUGAUUCCUUGUACUUGUAGCAUAAGUAGAAGAGCAGGUAACUUGGGAUUUAAAAAUUAUACUUUUUCCCAAAAAAUUAUUCAAAUUCACUUAAUAGGUAACUUUCAUGCUCCUUCACUUUACUUUCUAUUUGGCUAGUUCAAUUUUGUACUCGAAUCUUUUCAAAUUCACAUCAGAAAGAUGGCAGCAGUUUAAGUCUUGAAGGUUCUCUUCAUUUAUGUCCUAGUUCAUGGGAAAAACAAAAAAUGUGAUUGCAAAGAUGUGAUUCCCAACAACAAAUCCUACCAAAAUCUGAUCCUUUCACCAGUACCUACCAACAAUUGAAUAUCCCACCAACACUCCAAAUUUUGACAGCCCUUAAGAACAAAACUGUUCUAUGAAGCACAAAACUCUUCCAACACAUUGCUUGCAAGAUUUACUAUGUUUAAACCUCUGAUUUAUUGGUAUCAUGCGAUUUCUUUGAAAAUUUACAUAAACCUCAAAAAGUAGUAAAAGUGCUUCAGCAGCAUGAGGGUUUUUAUAACAAAGAAGUCAUUCAUUUCGGCUGAUAAACUGAAACAAUGAUUGAAACACAAAAGUCUUCGCAUCAGAUAAAAAUGACUGACUAAGAAGAAUUCAAGUGCAAAACCAAGAAGACUUCUAUUUUUCAGAAAAGUAAAAACAAUUAAUCGCUAUGGUACAAAUUCUAAAGUUAAUAAGCCCUAAAGUAGGAAGCCAUAAAAAGAGGAGAAUUUUACAACAUACAUCUCAGAAACAAAUAGACUCAUUUGAAAUGUUCUUAAAGAAAUAAUACAGUGCCAAAUUGGAAUCAUAUCGAAGAAUAAAGAGGCCUCAGAUAUUUUAUCCAUAAACCUAAAAACUACAGAGAACAAAAAUAACAAUCACUCAAAUGGAAAGUACGGGGAAGCACCGCAUCAAAGGUCAAGCGGCAUACCAGAAUUUUGAUUCAAAUGUCAUGGCUGAGAACCUUUGCAUCAAAAGCGGCUGCAAGAGCAAAUGAUGAUGCUGCGAUGGGAGUCCAAACUAAACAGCAAAAAAUUAGAGAGAAUAAGAGUAAGAAUUCGAACAGAGUUCCAUGUGUUUAUAUUGGAUAAAUGACUCUUAGCUUGUUUUGCUUCUUGCAGACUUAUGGGAUUCAGGAAAAAUGUUUUGUUUAGUUCCUCUCGUAGAACUAAAGAGGUGAUGUUGAUACAACCAUUUUUUCCCAUUUUGUUUGACCAAGAAUGUAUUUGUAUAAAAUCCAAAUGCAACCGCAGUUGGGUGAUGGAUGACAUUAUCGCUCGUUUCUUUAACUUCUAAGAUUUCUACUUGCCAUAAAAAAAAUAUAAAAAAAAAAAAAAAACUAGUGGCAAAAUUAUAUCAAGGACACAAAUAGUUACAAAGGCGUGGAUUAUACCUUUUCAUCUUGGAUUUGAGAACUUCGUGUCCUCCGCCGUAUUUUUAAACAUCAGAUCUGAACUCUGGGGUGCCUUCUUUCACGCCUAAACACCGUCGUCUUCGAUCUUGAGGCUUCUACAUAGAGAAUACAUACAUGAGACGGUCAUCUUCUAUUUUUCCCUAAUCUACUAUGAUCGGAGAUGAAGUUAAAGGCAUAAGGUGAGAAAAUUUUACCUGUGAGUGUGUCGACACCAAGAUCAGGAGGUUUGGCAUCUGACUUGCAUGGCUGAGCUCGAUUUAUGAAGAGCAGCGAAGAUGGAGGGGUGAAUCUGACCAUGGCGAUGGAGAUUUUGUGCAUGCUUCUGAUUCUAAAUCGUACCUGCAAUACGGCCGAAAAAUUAAUGCAGCGGUGGAUCGAGAAUGAAAGACAACGGAGACAAGAGUGAAGUCGGGUUGUCUGCAGCGACUCGAACGGAUCAAAAUUUGAUAGAAAUCUUUAGGGCCCGACAGAGAAGAUAGAUAUGAAAUUUUAAUUUUAAUUAGAAGAUGCAGAACCUACCUCUUCCUUCUCUAUGUGUAUGGAGCUUCGUUUCACAAAAUCUCACACCCACCGACACCAGCCCACGAUUUCAGGAACCAAAAUCAACCCUAACCCCAUUUUGCAACCCCUACUCCUCCGUCUCUCUCCCUCUGUUUGCGCUAAGCCACCCAACCCAUUCCAACCCGUCUCAAACCCCACGGACAAAAUUACCCUCCUAACUUUUAACAAUUACCCUCCCAACCCACCCAGCCCUAUCUAGCUGGCAUUGUUGUAAAUAAGAUGAAAUCGAAUGUCAAACUUUUGAAAUACCUCAUCAAUUUUAGAAAAGACACAAGCAUCUACAAUCACGAAUCAAUCAAAAGACAGGAAGGUGACUACGGUGAAACAUGUUAUAGUGACGAUAAAACCACCGUACCAUCACGACUAUUGAUCGUGUUGUUCGUAACAUAUCAAGAUAAGAAAAAUAAGGGGAACUAAUCUAGGAGUGGGCACAGUUUGGUUCAGUACGGUUUUGAGUGAAACCAAAAUCGAAACCAAAAUUUUUUACGGUUUGGAAGCUAAAAUUGAAAUGAAACCAAAUCGUUUGGUUCGGUUCAAUGCGGUUUCAAACAGUUUCGGUUUGGUUUUUAAGAAAAAAUGUACAAUUUGCAAUUUUACAUAUUAACAAGCAUUUCCCAGUAGCAAUAGGAAAAAGACAUUUGUUAUAUAAACAAUUAGCAUGUUGCAUGCAGUUGUGAUGUUAAAAUAUGUUUGUGCAACAAAAGGAUGUCCCGUACAAGGUAUAACAUAAAACAAGUUGAAUAACUUUGAAUUCAUUAAACAUGAGCGAAACUUUCAUACUAGAAUAUGUUAUAUCAUGCUUCAAAUGAGUGGACUUCAUUAGAUCAUUGUUCGACUCUUGAUAAUAAGAUUAGUCCACCCUUGUACAUAUAUGUGUGUGUGUGUGUGUGUGUGAUGGUAUAAAAUAACAAAGGUCCUUCAAGUUAAUGAACGAAAGAAAGUGAUGAAUGAUGAUAUUCUAGUGUGGUUGUGUCCAUACUAAGUGCGUGAAUUCUAACAAAAAACCAAUUAAAACAUGAAAUUUAAUAUGGACAUUUAAUUAAAUGUUCAUUAAUAUUUGUGGUGCGGUUCGGUUUCGGUGUGGUUUUCAAAAGUCAAAACCGAAACCGAACCGUUUUCUAUGUUGCGGUUCGGUUUCAAAACCGAAACCAUUCCAAAACCGCAAAACCAAACUAUUUGGUGGGUUCUAUUUGGUUCGUGUUUCGGUUUCGGUUUUCGGUUCUAAGUGCCCACCCCUAAACUAACUUGCAUAGAAACUCCCAGUUAGAUUCUGAAGCGCAUCUUGAGCCUGUUCUUCCUCACUGAGCUGAACGUACACAUUCCCAACCUACGCACACAAACACAAUAAAUUAGUCCAAAUAAUCAACCAAGCAAUUUUAUUGUACUCAUAUGUGUGCCAGAUUUGGAAGAUUGAGCUAGCAUUGUAGACAUCAAAGGAACUUGCUUUGAAACUUUUUGCAAAGUGGACUCCUCAGCUCGAAGCUGUGAACACAACUCUUUCAAGGACACAAGAGUUUCACUACCACAAGUCACAGACUUGAUGGUGUUAUACUCAGAAGGUAGGCCUCGAAGAGCCACAAUCACAAUAUCCUCAUCAGAUAUGAAGACCCCAACAGCAACAAGUUGAUCUCAGGUAUCCUUAAUUCUUUGAAGAUACUCAUCAAUUGAUUCAGACCCUUUCUGUAUAUUUUGCAAAUCAAUUUUCAUUUGAACUAUACUAGUCCCGGUCAUGUUUACAAACCGUUCUCUAAGACUAAGCCACAUUUCUUGAGAACUCUGACAUCCAAUCACACAAGAUAAAGCAGUAGUGGACAAAGUAGCAGUAAGAAGAGUCAUCAAUGUUUUAUCAUGAAUUUUCCACACCUUAUACGCAUCAGAAAUUACUGGCACUUGAUUAUCAACCUUCCCCUCAGAUUCAAAAUCAACAAAUUUGGUCGGACACGGAAUGGAUCCAUCAACAAAACCACGAAUUCCAUUAGCAUUUAACAACAACUCCAUUUGAAAAUUCCAAUUCACAUAGUUAGAGUCAUCUAACUUCACAGUAACAAUAUUACCCACACUUGGAAUGAGAGAAGCAAUAGGCAAUUGUGUAAGCAUUAACUGAGUAGAGGUAACCAUUGUGAAAAUACAAACAGAUCAAUCAUGACACAGAUAAGCAAAUCGCAGAAACACAGAAUAUAGUAGAAAUCGUGAACAACAAUUCCCAAAAAUUAGGGUUUAGACAAACAAGAAUCAAAAGUCAAGGGAUCAAGAAUCAGGAAAUAAUCAAAAGAAUAUCACCUUCGUGAACUCUGACGACUCAACACCGCCAUAAAUCCCCAAACACUAGGGUUUCAGAAGAACUCCGACGACGACGACACCGACUUUAUCGACAAUCACCACCGACAAACACCAGCGACUCCACCGACUCUUACGAUUAUACGUUGCUACAGUGCAACAAAGGCAACACUCCGAUCAAACAACACCAAGAAUCAAACGAGCGGAAGCAAUAGGAUCAUCAAUCAACAGCGCGAGCCUUGAUCGGCGAAGAUACCAUGAUAACUGUAAGAAAAUGUAAGAGCUGUGAACUGUAGAGAGGGAAAGUAGAGAGAGUUUUGUAAACUGAAUUAUUAUUACCACACUAUUCAAUCCAAUACAAUACAUUAACUUGUCCUAUAAAUACACACCUAUAACUAACUCAAGACUUAACCAAUGAUACACAGACACAUGGUAAGCUAUACAUGUAACACCUGACACUAUUAUAUCCUAAUAAGUUCUAUGCAGUUAGAUAAUUUCUUUUGAACAGUUAGAUUAAAAAAGUGGAAUGAAAGGAGAGAAAUAAGAGGGGAGAAAAUUCAAGUCCAAUUAAUCAAAGUCGUCGUUUGAUUGGUAGACUGGUCCCAAAACAACUCUUAGUCUAUCUCUUAUACAUCACAAGCCUUAUUGCAAUUACCUAAACCAUUGAAAAGAAAAAUGAACAAAACAAAUGGUAAAUUGCACAUUAUGAUUUAAAAAACAAUGCAGUUUCCAUCUUAAAGAGCUAUCUAGGAUAUACUUCGGUGAUCAAUGAACCUCAUUUUCUGGUGCUUUGACAAAGCUGUUCUUGGAUCGAUCUGACCUAGUUGUAAUCACCUCCUAACUAUUCUUUCAUCCCAAAGUCAUGUCAAAUCCAACGUUACUAUCUCCGAAAAUGAUGGUUGUGAGGGUACUGGAAGUGUGACUGAGUAACUGUUAAGCAUUAGAACAAUAGCAUUCAUGGUUGGCCUAUCAGCUAUAUUUUCUUGCACACAUAGCAACCCAAUAUGGAUGCAUCUCAUGAUUUCAUUUCUUAAACCGUUCGUCAACGCGGGAUCUAUUAGAUUUGAAGUUGUCCCUUCCCUCCAACAUUUCCAUGCUUGCGUUGUGAAAUUCGUAGAAAUAUAGUUAGAGAUAAAUUAUUUUUCUUGGUUGCAUUAUGCAUAUAGUUUAAAUUCUUACGUAGCUUAGAAGAUCCUCCACGUUCUUGCCGUGACGAAAGGAAUUAUUUUUCUGUCCGCUCACUAUCUCCAAAACUAAGACACCAAAACUAUAGACAUCCGACUUAACAGAAAAGUGCCCAUACAUCGCAUAUUCUGGAGCCAUAUAUCCACUGCAUAUCGAAACAAGAAUAAUAUAUGUUGGUUUUAUGAUCAAACUUAGUUGAGAACUUUGGAUUAUUGAUAUAGAUUAACACAAUUAUAAUAUAAGCCAUGUAGCCUUGUCGAGUACUUACUAGGUCCCCACAAUUUGACUGGUAUUGCCUUGUGUUUGAUCAACCUCAAACAAUUUUGCCAUGCCAAAAUCUGAUAUCUUGGGAGUCAUAUCUUCAUCUAUCAAGAUAUUAAUGGCUUUGAGAUCACAAUGAAUAAUUCUAAGCCGCGAAUCCUCAUGAAGGUAAAUGAGCCCUCGAGUAAUGCCUACUAUGAUUUUGUAGCGCCUAUCCCAAUCCAAUUGUGCGCGCUUGAUUGGAUCUGCAUGUUCAAUUCAAACCAAGGUUACAAUGUUUCUUGUAUGUUACAGGAAUGAGAUUUUAUGGUAAAAUUUUGAAGUUAAAGCUAAAAUUGUACAAAUUAGGGACAAACUCAUAAAUAAGAAGCCUUUCAACUCCUUCCGAGCAGAAACCCAAGAGCCUAACUAAGUUUCGGUGCUGAAGCUUUGCCACUAACAAGACCUCAUUUUUAAACUCCAAAUCUCCUUGUCCAGAAUUUACGGAGAGCCUUUUCACUGCUAUCUCUUCUCCAUUCAAUAACCUACCCUGAAAGAGUAUCAAAACAAAAAGGUUGCAUUCAAGGAAUAUAUACAUGAAACUGGUGAUGUUGCCCAUAUAUAUCAUGAUGUUAUUAAGAUUGGCAGGUUAGGUUUUUUCACAAUAUAUUGUAUUUUAUUUUAUUUCGUAAGGUAUGAUGUGAGAAUCUUAUCUUCAAUAGAUGUGUUCUAUAUUACCUUGUAAACAGAACCAAAUCCCCCUUGUCCUAGUUUAUUGGCUUCAGAAAAGUCUUCUGUGGCAACUCUAAUGGUGUCAAAAUUGAAUUGCAAGGAUUCUGCACUUCCAAUUUCGUCCGCGUCUUCGCAUUUGGUAAAAUUUUAACAAAAAUUUUGUAUGUAACAAAAUUAGAUCUAGAUGACAUAACAGUACUAGGCUUCCCACUUGAAGCAAAUUGAGAUGAAUUAAUGUUACUGUUUAUUUUGUUACAGUACGUGCCUGGAAUUAAAUUACCUUGAAGCUUUUUCUUUGCCUUCCGUACUCUUAGACAAAUGCCCAUGAACAUUACAAGUACCAAAGAAGCAAUAAUUGACACAAUAAUAAUGAUGACAGUCUGAGAUUUGCUGCUCUUCGAUCCUGAAAAGUCUUCUAUGGCAACUCUAAUGGUGUCAAAAUUGAAUUGCAAGGAUUCUGCACUUCCAAUUUCGUCCGCGUCUUCGCCUGUGGUAAAAUUUUAACAAAAAUUUUGUAUGUAACAAAAUUAGAUCUAGAUGACAUAACAGUACUAGGCUUCCCACUUGAAGCAAAUUGAGAUGAAUUAAUGUUACUGUUUAUUUUGUUACAGUACGUACCUGGAAUUAAAUUACCUUGAAGCUUUUUCUUUGCCUUCCGUACUAUUAGACAAAUGCCCAUGAACAUUACAAGUACCAAAGAAGCAAUAAUUGACACAAUAAUAAUGAUGACAGUCCGAGAUUUGCUGCUCUUCUAUCCUGCAAAGUAAAAUCAGAAAUAUAUAUUCUCUAAUCAUAUGAGAUUCUAAAUAACACGUUUAAGUGAUUGAUCUAUCAGAGAGAGGAGUUACCAUUGAUCAAUUAAAUUUUGCGAUCAGUGUCAAGCAAAUAUGCAGUCAUCGGCGUAUGUAAUGGAGUGUACAUACAUAUACGUUGUGCGUACGUACCUUUUGAAGUGUUUGUGGUAUUGGUUGAUGGUGGUGGAGAAUGUACUGGUGGUGUUAUUGGUGGCGGAGAUGGCAGUUGUUUGACAGUUGUAGGGUCAAUGAAGGGGUAAAGAUCGAAUCUAAAGUAACAGCUAGGUUUAUUAACUCCCCCACCUACUUUCCCCUCAAAAUAAUUGGGGAAUUCUCCAUAAGCCCCAACUAAGGGCUGGUUUGGUAUUGCUGUGGUUUGAAAAAAAGCUGUUGUGAGAAUAAGUGACUGUGCUGUGAGAAUAAGCGGCUGUGAAAUAAAUCAGCAGAGUGCUUGGUAAACUUUUUUGUAAAAGUGCUUUUGGAAAGAAAAAAAGCAGUCUGAUAGUGGGUCUUUUCAUUAAAAGAGCAUUAUAGCUCCGUGUGCUUUGAAAAAAAACCAGUUUUCCAAAGCUGCAAAUAGCAGCUUCAGUUUUUUCCUUUGAUUUCAGUUUAUUCUCACAGCAGCUUCCAAAAUAAGCCUUUUUUUUCAGUUUACCAAACAUCUAAAACACUUGGUGCAAUGGCAAGUGCCUUCGCCCGUGAGCGGUAGGUCUCGGGUUCGAGACUUAGGAGCAGCCUCUCCAUAAAUUGGGGUAAGGCUAGCCGACAUUCACCUCUUCCAGACCCUGCAUAAAGCGGGAGCCUUGUGCACUUGGUACAACCAAACAUCUAAAACACUCACAGCUUUUUUUCAUGGAUGUUUUUUUUAAGCACAUCGCUCCCAAAACACCCCUAAGCAAUCACUGCACUUUUGCUCUGAUAUGUCUGGCGUGCAUUGCGCUAGUGCAAAUAUUGUUUGGAAAGUUGGGCCGCUUGUGUUUCCGAAUGCAAAUUUCCGAAGAGAACCGCCAGCUGCAGCUUCACUUCUUAUGCUGUCCAGUAGCUUCCUCAGCUCUUGGUUGAAUCUAUCCAGGUCGGACGACGAUAUGUUUUUUAUGUUCCAGUAAUACGACGAAGGAUCAGUUUCCAUGACGCCAUAGAUGGAGCGGUUUGAGUAGCGUAAAAUGCAUUUUUCAUACCAACCAAUUGCUUCCUUCCGAUUUGGGCAAAGCUGAGGGAGAGCAUAUCGGGAAUUAUUUAGGCAGCUACGGCAAUCUUCCGUCUUGGCAUCUCCUCUACAAAGUCCGAUUGCAUAAAUGUGCUCGUUCGACGAGUUUAGGCGAUAGGAUGCAUUGUAAAAGCCAUGCCCGUUGCCGUUUUCGUUGGAGGGCAGGGAGGAGAGGAGGCGGUUGAGGUUUGUCUGAUAGGUACUAUUGGUGGUAUAGUUUCCUUUUUCGUUUAUGCAAACUUCACCAAGGGCUUGAUUAACCAUGAGAAACAGAAAGGGAAAGAGGCAGAAUAGAAAUCUUGAGGAGUCCAUUGCUGGCAUUAUUUGAUAUUUUUGCUAAAAUU
RNAcentral lists this long non-coding RNA (30046 nucleotides) under Malus domestica (apple). RNAcentral's name for it is "long non-coding RNA (MDOM_LNC005392)". Lineage: Eukaryota; Viridiplantae; Streptophyta; Magnoliopsida; Rosales; Rosaceae. The record is from RNAcentral.